AUACGGAGGGUGCAAGCGUUACUCGGAAUCACUGGGCGUAAAGGACGCGUAGGCGGGUUGGUAAGUCAGGUGUGAAAUCCUACAGCUUAACUGUAGAACUGCACUUGAAACUACCAACCUAGAGUAUGGGAGGGGGAGAUGGAAUUAGUGGUGUAGGGGUAAAAUCCGUAGAUAUCACUAGGAAUACCGAAAGCGAAGGCGAUCUCCUGGAACAUAACUGACGCUAAGGCGUGAAAGCGUGGGGAGCAAACAGGAUUAGAAACCCCGGUAGUCC
Molecule: ribosomal RNA, 274 nt
Filed under: uncultured bacterium
Lineage: Bacteria
Description: partial 16S ribosomal RNA
Rfam family: Bacterial small subunit ribosomal RNA
Source: RNAcentral